RNAcentral lists this ribosomal RNA (2384 nucleotides) under Verrucaria lapidicola. RNAcentral's name for it is "eukaryotic LSU rRNA". The stretch from base 827 to 2384 matches the Rfam family "Eukaryotic large subunit ribosomal RNA", at positions 1 to 1382 of the family's 3401-position model. Lineage: Eukaryota; Fungi; Ascomycota; Eurotiomycetes; Verrucariales; Verrucariaceae. The record is from RNAcentral.
UCUAGUGAAGCCUUAAUAUGCGCGACUCGAAAAAAUGCUGUUAUAGCCCUUUUAAUUUCAAAAGGGCGACGUCACAUAAAUGCUGGAACCCUUAGUAAUAAGAGCACCAGCAGCCAGAUUAUUCCUGGUUCACAGAUUAGAUGGUGACGGUUAAAUAAUCAGAGGUUUUCGUUAAACAAUCCUCUAGGAGAUAAAUCUUCAAGAGUUGUUGGUUUAGUAGGAUCAUGCCACAUCAUUAUAACGAUAUUCUGAUUAUUUGAUUAAGAUAUAAUCGGUCUACUGCUGCUAUAGGCGGUGAGAACAACGUUCCGUAGGUGAACCUGCGGAAGGAUCAUUAUCGAGUUAGGGUCUUCUGGGCCCCAAUCUCCAACCCUUGUCUAUAUUACCAUGUUGCUUUGGCGGGCCCGUCUUUAACCGGACGGUUGGGGGGUUUUCCCCCUGGCCCGUGCCCGUCAGUAGCCCCCAUAAAUUCUUGUCACAGUGGUGUCUAAGUCUCAAAAUAAUAACUAAAACUUUCAACAACGGAUCUCUUGGUUCUGGCAUCGAUGAAGAACGCAGCGAAAUGCGAUAAGUAAUGCGAAUUGCAGAAUUCCGUGAGUCAUCGAAUCUUUGAACGCACAUUGCGCCCUUUGGUAUUCCGAAGGGCAUGCCUGUUCGAGCGUCAUUAUCAACCCUCAAGCUCGGCUUGGUGUUGGGUCCCACCGCUGAGACAUUCGGUGGACCCGAAAGAUAAUGGCAGAGCCCGUGGGGACGCUGGAUGCAACGAGCUUUUCAGCACGCGUCUGGACGUCCUCCGGCCCGGUCUUACCAAAUCUACUUCUCAGAUUGACCUCGGAUCAGGUAGGGAUACCCGCUGAACUUAAGCAUAUCAAUAAGCGGAGGAAAAGAAACCAACAGGGAUUGCCUCAGUAACGGCGAGUGAAGCGGCAACAGCUCAAAUUUGAAAUCUGGCUCCUUUGGGGGUCCGAGUUGUAAUUUGUAGAGGAUGCUUCGGGUAAGGCUGCGGUCUAAUUUGCUUGGAACAGCGAGUCAUAGAGGGUGAGAAUCCCGUCUAGGAUGGCGAGCCGCGCCCGUGUGAAGCUCCUUCGACGAGUCGAGUUGUUUGGGAAUGCAGCUCUAAAUGGGUGGUAAAUUUCAUCUAAAGCUAAAUAUUGGCCAGAGACCGAUAGCGCACAAGUAGAGUGAUCGAAAGAUGAAAAGCACUUUGAAAAGAGAGUUAAACAGUAUGUGAAAUUGUUGAAAGGGAAGCGCUUGCAAUCAGACUUGAGUGUAACGGUUCCCCCGGUCUCUUUUGACCGGGUCACUCCGUUAUAUCCAGGCCAACAUCGGUUCGAGGGGUCGGUUAAAGACCCCGGGAAUGUAUCUACCUUCGGGUCGACUUAUAGCCCGGGGUGUAAUGCGGCCUCCCCGGACCGAGGAACGCGCUUCGGCUCGGAUGUUGGCGUAAUGGUUGUAAGCGGCCCGUCUUGAAACACGGACCAAGGAGUCUAACAUCUAUGCGAGUGUUUGGGUGUUAAACCCCUACGCGUAAUGAAAGUGAACGGAGGUAAGAACCCCGUUAAACGGGUGCAUUAUCGACCGAUCCUGAUGUCUUCGGAUGGAUUUGAGUAAGAGCAUAGCUGUUGGGACCCGAAAGAUGGUGAACUAUGCCUGAAUAGGGUGAAGCCAGAGGAAACUCUGGUGGAGGCUCGCAGCGGUUCUGACGUGCAAAUCGAUCGUCAAAUUUGGGCAUAGGGGCGAAAGACUAAUCGAACCAUCAAAGGAAUAAAAAAUAAGGGCUAUCGGGUGGUUCUUUAACAGUCCUUCGGGGCUACAUCGUCCUUCUGGCGGGGAUCAAUACCCGCAGCAGUUUCGGCUGUCCACAGACUAGGAGACGGUGGUCAUCUUCACCAGGAAAGAUGAUGAUGAUAUAGUCGGUUUGGUUAUCUGGUCUAACCAAGUUGUACGCUGGUAGCUGGUUCCUGUCGAAGUUUCCCUCAGGAUAGCAGUAACGUUUUCAGUUUUAUGAGGUAAAGCGAAUGAUUAGAGGCCUUGGGGUUGAAACAACCUUAACCUAUUCUCAAACUUUAAAUAUGUAAGAAGUCCUUGUUACUUAAUUGAACGUGGACAUUUGAAUGUAUCGUUACUAGUGGGCCAUUUUUGGUAAGCAGAACUGGCGAUGCGGGAUGAACCGAACGUGAGGUUAAGGUGCCGGAAUGUACGCUCAUCAGACACCACAAAAGGUGUCAAUGCAUCCAGACAGCCGGACGGUGGCCAUGGAAGUCGGAAUCCGCUUAGGAGUGUGUAACAACUCACCGGCCGAAUGCAUUGGCCCUGAAAAUGGAUGGCGCUUAAGCGUGCUACCUAUACCUCGCCGUUGGGGUUGAAAUGAUGCCCUAACGAGU